UACAGAGGUCCCAAGCGUUGUUCGGAAUCACUGGGCGUAAAGGGCGCGUAGGCGGCGUGGUAAGUCAGAUGUGAAAUCCCGGGGCUCAACCCCGGAACUGCAUCCGAUACUGCCAUGCUAGAGGAUUGGAGAGGUAGCUGGAAUUCUUGGUGUAGCAGUGAAAUGCGUAGAGAUCAAGAGGAACACUCGUGGCGAAAGCGAGCUACUGGACAAUUCCUGACGCUGAGGCUCGAAGGCUAGGGUAGCGAAAGGG
RNAcentral lists this ribosomal RNA (253 nucleotides) under uncultured bacterium. RNAcentral's name for it is "partial 16S ribosomal RNA". It matches the Rfam family "Bacterial small subunit ribosomal RNA", at positions 524 to 776 of the family's 1533-position model. The record is from RNAcentral.